AGUGAACGCUGGCGGUAGGCCUAACACAUGCAAGUCGAACGGCAGCACAGUAAUAGCUUGCUCUUACGGGUGGCGAGUGGCGGACGGUUGAUGAAUACAUCGGAAUCUACUUUUUCUUGGGUGAUAACGUAGGGAAACUUACGCUAAUACCGCAUACGACCUACGGGUGAAGUCAUGGGAUCUUCGGACCUUGCGCGAUUGAAUGAGCCGAUGUCGGAUUAGCUAGUUGGCGGGGUAAAGGCCCACCAAGGCGACGAUCCGUAGCUGGUCUGAGAGGAUGAUCAGCCAAACUGGAACUGAGACACGGUCCAGACUCCUACGGGAGGCAGCAGUGGGGAAUAUUGGACAAUGGGCGAAAGCCUGAUCCAGCCAUACCGCGUGGGUGAAGAAGGCCUUCGGGUUGUAAAGCCCUUUUGUUGGGAAAGAAAAGCAGCAGGUUAAUACCCCGCUGUUCUGACGGUACCAAAAGAAUAAGCACCGGCUAACUUCGUG
RNAcentral lists this ribosomal RNA (492 nucleotides) under uncultured bacterium. RNAcentral describes it as "partial 16S ribosomal RNA". It matches the Rfam family "Bacterial small subunit ribosomal RNA", at positions 29 to 507 of the family's 1533-position model. The record is from RNAcentral.